Long non-coding RNA from Serinus canaria (Common canary), 1861 nucleotides. RefSeq lists it as uncharacterized. The transcript is spliced from 3 exons. The record is from RefSeq and is a predicted model, not a curated record. Lineage: Eukaryota; Metazoa; Chordata; Aves; Passeriformes; Fringillidae.
CUGAAUCAUAUUCAAGUUUCGUUUUCGGUUCAGGGGUUACCAGAGAGUGCACAGCUCAGACUUCAACUGCCUCCAGAACAACUGGGACCUGCACAAGUAUGAAUCUCCAAAAAAACUAUAUGCUUUAUCUCUGAGUCCUGAGGCUGCUACCAAAGUUGCACUGUCAGAUGAGAUACACUACACACUGAAACAGAAAUCACCAGUGCUUUCACACCUGCAUUGUGAUUACAUUACCUGCCUCUUACUUUCAUGGUAAUUUUAAACCACUUCACUGACUCGAACAAAAAGGUUGCAGACAACUGCAGAAUUCAGUCGACUUUUUCCACUGACCAACAGAAAAAGCUGGCUAGAGGGAAGACAGAAGAAUGCAAGAUUUACAGCGGAGGGACAGAGCCAACCCUGUGUUCUGAUUAGCAGUUUGGAUGCCAUUGUUCUGUCUGGAAAACACAUGUCAUCCUCAGAAUCACCCAAGCUGUCCAUUGACAUCUGCCAGCAUAUCCUCCAUCACCUCGCUCUUUCUUUUUUCUCACUUUCUCUUCCUUACUCCUCUUUUUUCAUUUCCCUGUGUGAACUAUUCCAGUGCAGUUAGGAGCUACCCCUAGCAAAAAGUGAUGUGGCUUUCACCCCCCACAAUAUCACCUUCAGUGUCAAACUGACCACCACAAAACAACAGAAAAUAGACAGUUCCUCUGAGUCUUCAAACUUGUAGGGUUUGUGCUGUGUUUCACUCUGGGGACAGAAAUUCAUAACAGCCCAGAGGCUUCGUAUUUUCAAAAUUGUCACACUAAGACUUGACUGGCUCCAUGAAAGAAGCAGUAGAAAGAGAUGCCUGAAGGUAGGCUGGGAAGAAUCCAAAAUGAUGUCAGGUUUCCUUCUACCUUCCCAUCAAUAGGGUCUUUGAAGAAAAAGCCUCUUCAGAGAAGAAAAAAAUAACUUUCUCUUUAGUUAAAAGGGCUACCAUGGUUGCAGUUUGGAGACUGACAGUUAAUGUUAGCUUUAUUACCUUAAAAUCUAUACAGCCUCAUGGUUUGCUGUGGAUGGCUUUGCCUCCAUGAGUUUUGAUGAUGUCCUUGAAAGAGAAAUAUAGAUGCACAGCUUCAUUCUCUGUUGACUUUGGAGGUGAAUAUUUUAUCCCCUUUCCUUUUCCUGGCUGUUUGCAAACAGCAGUGAUAACUCCUAUGCAGUAUGCCUAAGAAUUGUGGCAGAGGAGAGAAAAUCAAAGCUUUUACUGGACUAGAACAGUUCCAAGUCUGAUAGUUCUCUUUCCUCUCUGUGGUGACUGAUGAUGAGGGACAGGGGAGAUAAAAGAGGUGCUGGAACUGUGCAUCGCUGUCUAUUAUCUUUUGUCCAAAAGAUACUUUUAUUAUUUUCAUUAUUGUUUUUAGCUUUUAUGUAGGAUGAAAAGAUUCUUAACUAAAGGAGAAUACUUUUCUUUUCUGAGGUCUAUGCAUUUUUGUGUGUGACUUUAUAGGGAAUAGAAUCUUACAUUCUUGAAGAGUCCUUAGAAAAAUGUUGAUGCCUCUCUCUAGUUAUACCAUAGCACAACUUUUCCAGCAAAGAAUAAUUCCUGCUGAAAUAUUGGCUCGGCAGUUUCUGGAAGAUAGUAAAUUGCAAUUUAUCCACCAUAAUGUCUAUCAGCCUGCUGAGAACUUUUUUUUUUUCUGUGAAGGCCCUGAAACACAGUUUGUACAAUGCUGUCAUACCCAAAUAGAGCCCCACUACCUGAUCAGGGCUAUUUUUUAAGCACCCAGCUCUCAUACUGUCCCUUUGGAAGAGUUAAGUUCAUAAUUUCUAACUUUAAUGAUUGCUAACAGAAUAAUUCUCAUCCAGCCAUGCUGGGUUGAAGAAUCUGAGAGGCUUC